Molecule: ribosomal RNA, 469 nt
Filed under: uncultured bacterium
Lineage: Bacteria
Description: bacterial SSU rRNA
Rfam family: Bacterial small subunit ribosomal RNA
Source: RNAcentral
AGAGUUUGAUCCUGGCUCAGAGCGAACGCUGGCGGCAGGCCUAACACAUGCAAGUCGAACGAACUCUUCGGAGUUAGUGGCGGACGGGUGAGUAACACGUGGGAACGUGCCUUUAGGUUCGGAAUAACUCAGGGAAACUUGUGCUAAUACCGAAUGUGCCCUUCGGGGGAAAGAUUUAUCGCCUUUAGAGCGGCCCGCGUCUGAUUAGCUUGUUGGUGGGGUAAUGGCCCACCAAGGCGACGAUCAGUAGCUGGUCUGAGAGGAUGACCAGCCACAUUGGGACUGAGACACGGCCCAAACUCCUACGGGAGGCAGCAGUGGGGAAUCUUGCGCAAUGGGCGUAAGCCUGACGCAGCCAUGCCGCGUGGAUGAUGAAGGUCUUAGGAUUGUAAAAUCCUUUCACCGGUGAAGAUAAUGACUGUAGCCGGAGAAGAAGCCCCGGCUAACUUCGUGCCAGCAGCCGCGGUAA